CAGGUCUGUGAUGAUGACACACCGUUUUUUGUUUGAGUCUCACGAUCAUGAGACAACCCCUCAUGCACUACCAUCUGAGACCAC
This is a small nucleolar RNA of Heteronotia binoei (common prickly gecko), 84 nucleotides long. NCBI's taxonomy places the organism in Eukaryota, Metazoa, Chordata, Lepidosauria, Squamata, Gekkonidae. The record is from RefSeq and is a predicted model, not a curated record.